This 253-nucleotide ribosomal RNA is filed under the name uncultured bacterium. Its description in RNAcentral is "partial 16S ribosomal RNA". It matches the Rfam family "Bacterial small subunit ribosomal RNA", at positions 524 to 776 of the family's 1533-position model. The record is from RNAcentral.
UACGAAGGGUGCAAGCGUUGUUCGGAUUUAUUGGGCGUAAAGCGCGCGCAGGCGGAUUAGUAAGUCAGAUGUGAAAUCUCGGGGCUCAACCCCGAAACUGCGUCUGAAACUGCUAGUCUAGAAUAUCGGAGGGGGCAGGGGAAUUUCACGUGUAGGAGUAAAAUCCGUAGAGAUGUGAAGGAACACCAGUGGCGAAGGCGCCUGCCUGGACGAUUAUUGACGCUGAGGCGCGAAAGCGUGGGGAGCAAACAGG